Capsicum annuum is the source of this 214-nucleotide RNA transcript. RefSeq lists it as uncharacterized. NCBI's taxonomy places the organism in Eukaryota, Viridiplantae, Streptophyta, Magnoliopsida, Solanales, Solanaceae. The record is from RefSeq and is a predicted model, not a curated record. The transcript is spliced from 3 exons.
GCUGCAUAUCCAGCUGUCUCAUCAAAUACUUUAGGAUUAACAGCAACAAACUUAUUUACAGAUGUUAUGGAUGAGCUGGAGAAACAGUAUCUUGAUGACAAGUCACAAAUUAAAGAUGCAGUUAGGAUGGCCGAGAUUGGAUUGACAUCAGCCUAGACACUUGAUGAUAUUAAGGUUGCAAUCGCUAAGUAUAUUAGCACUCCACCAAUGUCAG